RNAcentral lists this ribosomal RNA (870 nucleotides) under uncultured bacterium. Its description in RNAcentral is "bacterial SSU rRNA". It matches the Rfam family "Bacterial small subunit ribosomal RNA", at positions 464 to 1334 of the family's 1533-position model. The record is from RNAcentral.
AUGAGUGGACGUUACUCGCAGAAUAAGCACCGGCUAACUCUGUGCCAGCAGCCGCGGUAAUACAGAGGGUGCGAGCGUUAAUCGGAUUUACUGGGCGUAAAGCGUGCGUAGGCGGCUUUUUAAGUCGGAUGUGAAAUCCCCGAGCUUAACUUGGGAAUUGCAUUCGAUACUGGGAAGCUAGAGUAUGGGAGAGGAUGGUAGAAUUCCAGGUGUAGCGGUGAAAUGCGUAGAGAUCUGGAGGAAUACCGAUGGCGAAGGCAGCCAUCUGGCCUAAUACUGACGCUGAGGUACGAAAGCAUGGGGAGCAAACAGGAUUAGAUACCCUGGUAGUCCAUGCCGUAAACGAUGUCUACUAGCCGUUGGGGCCUUUGAGGCUUUAGUGGCGCAGCUAACGCGAUAAGUAGACCGCCUGGGGAGUACGGUCGCAAGACUAAAACUCAAAUGAAUUGACGGGGGCCCGCACAAGCGGUGGAGCAUGUGGUUUAAUUCGAUGCAACGCGAAGAACCUUACCUGGUCUUGACAUAGUAAGAACUUUCCAGAGAUGGAUUGGUGCCUUCGGGAACUUACAUACAGGUGCUGCAUGGCUGUCGUCAGCUCGUGUCGUGAGAUGUUGGGUUAAGUCCCGCAACGAGCGCAACCCUUUUCCUUAUUUGCCAGCACUUCGGGUGGGAACUUUAAGGAUACUGCCAGUGACAAACUGGAGGAAGGCGGGGACGACGUCAAGUCAUCAUGGCCCUUACGACCAGGGCUACACACGUGCUACAAUGGUCGGUACAAAGGGUUGCUACCUAGCGAUAGGAUGCUAAUCUCAAAAAGCCGAUCGUAGUCCGGAUUGGAGUCUGCAACUCGACUCCAUGAAGUCGGAAUCG